CUAUGCGCCUUGCCAGCCCGCUCAGGUGUGCCAGCCGCGCGGUAAUACGUAGGUGGCAAGCGUUAUCCGGAUUUAUUGGGUGUAAAGGGCGUGUAGGCGGGAAUGCAAGUCAGAUGUGAAAACUAUGGGCUCAACCCAUAGCCUGCAUUUGAAACUGUAUUUCUUGAGUGCUGGAGAGGCAAUCGGAAUUCCGUGUGUAGCGGUGAAAUGCGUAGAUAUACGGAGGAACACCAGUGGCGAAGGCGGAUUGCUGGACAGUAACUGACGCUGAGGCGCGAAAGCGUGGGGGAGCAAACAGG
This 299-nucleotide ribosomal RNA is filed under the name uncultured bacterium. RNAcentral's name for it is "partial 16S ribosomal RNA". It matches the Rfam family "Bacterial small subunit ribosomal RNA", at positions 475 to 776 of the family's 1533-position model. The record is from RNAcentral.